Patiria miniata (bat star) is the source of this 1486-nucleotide long non-coding RNA. RefSeq lists it as uncharacterized. The record is from RefSeq and is a predicted model, not a curated record. The transcript is spliced from 2 exons. NCBI's taxonomy places the organism in Eukaryota, Metazoa, Echinodermata, Asteroidea, Valvatida, Asterinidae.
AGUAGCUGCGAAAGCUUUAGCAAAUCGUUUAUCAAGUGUUAUAGGAAACAUUCAAGAAGAUCAGUCCGGUUACAUCAAAAGAAGAUUCAUAGGAAACAGUAUAAGAUUAAUUGAUGAUGUCAUUCAUUUUAGUAAAAUGAAGGACAAAAAUACGGCAAUUCUCUUCUUAGACUACGAAAAGGCUUUUGACACAGUAGAAUGGGACUUUUGAUUCAAAACGCUUAUAAAAUUCAACUUUGGAUCCAACAAUGUAUACAAAUAUUCAAAGUACAAUAAUAAACAAUGGCCAUAUGUCUCAAUUUUUCACGUUAAAACGAGGCCUCAGGAAACGGUGUGCUCUCUCUACACUGUUAUUCCUAAUCAUUGCAGAAGAAUGAAUCAAGAAAUAAAUGGGGUUAUUAACAAACAAAACAGAUUUACGUGUAACGGAAUUUGAAGAUGAAAGAUGUCGAUAGGAAAUUUGCAAAAUAAAAAUCAGUGACUUAACUAUCCGCUAUUCAAAAAAGAAAAAGAAUGUAGAAAAAUGAGGCCUAUCUUACUAGGCAAUAGGCAGAUUUACCUAAAACAGAUUUACGUAUUUCAAUGUACGCAGAUGAUACAACUCUUUUUUUAUCUGAUUUUGCAUCAAUUACAAAUGCCAUCAAUAUUGUGACAAAUUUUGGAAGUAUUGCAGAACCAAAAUCUAACCUCCAAAAAUAAAAGGACUAAUUAUUGGUAACAUUGAUCUGGACCAAACCUUUUAGAAAUUAUAAAUUGGCAGCGAGGACCAAUUAAAACAUUAGGCAUUUAUUUUGGAAAUAAUAUGAAUGAAUGUUAUGAAUUGAUGUGGGAAGAAAAGGUGAUAAAUUGUGCGAAUUUAAUUAAUCAAUGGAAAAGAAGACAUCUGACAUUACCAGGAAGAGUAACGUUUGUAAAUAGUCAGGCAAUACCAAUAUUUACUUUUUUAGCAUCUGUUAUUCCAACCCUACAAAAGUAUGUUUUGAAAAUAGAUAACUUAGUGUUUCCGUUUAUCUGGAAUGGCAACACAGACAAAAUUUCAAGAAAAACAAAGGUUUGCAAUUUAAACAAAGGUGGUCUUAACUUGACUUCCAAUCUCAUAAUAUAGCACUUAAAUGUAACUGGAUAUUUAAAUUGUUAAACAAUAAGCUUGGGAAAUGGAAAAUCAUUUGCAAUUUAUUUUUAAACUCAUGUUGCCCAGACCUUUCAGUCCUCAAUAUGAAUUUUAAAAAAGCAAAGUGCUGUUCACAUAUUACAUUAAACCUUCCACAAUUUUAUAAAGAGUAUUCUGUUGGCAGGAACUGAACUCAACAAAGACUGUACAAAUCGAUUUACAGCCAACUAAUAUAAAAGCACAAAUAAUGUCUGUAACUCUUUGUGUUUUUGUUGAUUUAUUGCAGGAGGAAAGAAGAAACCUUUGAAGCAAGCCAAGAAAGAGCACAAGGAACUUGAUGAAGAUGACUUGGCCCUGAAGCAAAAGCAGAAGGAA